AGAACCUUACCAGCGUUUGACAUGGUAGGACGACUGGCAGAGAUGCCUUUCUUCCCUUCGGGGACCUACACACAGGUGCUGCAUGGCUGUCGUCAGCUCGUGUCGUGAGAUGUUGGGUUAAGUCCCGCAACGAGCGCAACCCUCGACUUUAGUUACCAUCAUUAAGUUGGGUACUUUAAAGUAACCGCCGGUGAUAAGCCGGAGGAAGGUGGGGAUGACGUCAAGUCCUCAUGGCCCUUACGCGCUGGGCUACACACGUGCUACAAUGGCAAGUACAGUGGGCAGCAAUCCCGCGAGGGUGAGCUAAUCUCCAAACCUUGUCUCAGUCUCGGAUUGUUCUCUGCAACUCGAGAGCAUGAAGGCGGAAUCGCUAGUAAUCGCGG
RNAcentral lists this ribosomal RNA (383 nucleotides) under Sphingomonas sp. AG53. Its description in RNAcentral is "bacterial SSU rRNA". It matches the Rfam family "Bacterial small subunit ribosomal RNA", at positions 965 to 1347 of the family's 1533-position model. Lineage: Bacteria; Pseudomonadati; Pseudomonadota; Alphaproteobacteria; Sphingomonadales; Sphingomonadaceae. The record is from RNAcentral.